GGGCGACUAGCUCAGUUGGUUAGAGCGUUGCUUUCACACGGCAGAGGUCACAGGUUCGAAUCUUGUGUCGCCCA
RNAcentral lists this transfer RNA (74 nucleotides) under Planctomycetaceae bacterium. RNAcentral describes it as "tRNA-Val". It matches the Rfam family "tRNA". From Rfam's summary of the family: Transfer RNA (tRNA) molecules are approximately 80 nucleotides in length. The record is from RNAcentral. Lineage: Bacteria; Pseudomonadati; Planctomycetota; Planctomycetia; Planctomycetales; Planctomycetaceae.